UUUGACUCAGAUGAUGAAGAUUACUCCAAUGAUGAGGAAAGUGAUCAUGAAGGAGAAUUUGUUAGGAGGAAAACUAAGUUCCCUAGGUACAACCCUAAGGUAGAUAUUCCACUAUUCUGCUUGGGAAUGGUUUUCAGGAGCAAGGAACAGAUGAGGAAGGCACUAAUAAAAUAUGGACUUCUGACAUUUAGAAGUAUAAACUUCAUGAAGUCAGAAGAAGGGAGGAUCAGGGCUAAGUGUGGAUGGCCUGGAUGUCCGUGGACUAUAUAUGGUGCUUAUAGUAGCAGGUGUUCUAGAUUUCAGGUGAUCACAUAUGAAGAUCAAAAUGAGUGUGCACCUAACAGAGACAAUCACCUUGUCACAGCAAAAGUUAUUGCUAGGAGAUAUGAGCACAUCUUAAGAGCCAAUCCGACAUGGAAAAUUGAUAGCAUUAAAGCCACGGUUCUGAAAGAUUUCUUUGCGGAUGUUUCAACAUCAAAGUGCAAGCCUGCUAAGAAGAUAGUGUCAGAGAAGCUACUUGCCGGACUGAAA
RNAcentral lists this ribosomal RNA (531 nucleotides) under Triticum aestivum (bread wheat). Its description in RNAcentral is "partial small subunit ribosomal RNA". Lineage: Eukaryota; Viridiplantae; Streptophyta; Magnoliopsida; Poales; Poaceae. The record is from RNAcentral.